RNAcentral lists this ribosomal RNA (552 nucleotides) under Triticum aestivum (bread wheat). Its description in RNAcentral is "partial small subunit ribosomal RNA". The record is from RNAcentral. Lineage: Eukaryota; Viridiplantae; Streptophyta; Magnoliopsida; Poales; Poaceae.
AUGGGAGGAAGGCAUACUCUACUAGAUUCUGUAGUGACUCAGAUCUCUCUCUACCACAUGUCCAUGUGGUUGAUGAACAAAACUUUUAUUGAAAGGCUGGAUAAACACCGGAGGAGGUUUUUCUGGCAGGGGUGCAAUAAGAAAAAAAGAUACCAUCUUGUUAAAUGGAGUAGAAUUUGCAGAUCCAAGGAGAAAGGAGGUCUAGGGAUCAAGGACCUGCACAAACAAAACAUCAGUCUCAUGGUGAAAUGGUGGUGGAAACUUGAGACUAAAAAUGGGGUGUGGCAAGAUAUUGUGUGUGCUCAUUACUUACGUAACAAAACGGUGGCUGAGGUCACCCCAAGAUUGGUCACCCCAAGAUUUUCUGACUCCCCUUGUUGGAAAGCUCUGUUGGAAGUCAAGGAGAUUUAUUUGGCUAGGCCGAAAGUUAACAUUGAGGCUGGUAAUGUGGCUAUAGUGUGGGAUGAUCCCAUCAAGGGGCUCCCUCCCUUCCGGGAACAAUACCCGCAUCUCUUUGAGAUCUGUAAUGUCCCUGGAUGCACGGUGAGCUAG